AUGUUUAACCUAAAGCCCGGAACAAUGUUCCGUGAGAAGGUGUUCAUUGGGAAAGGUAAGCCUUUCAUCACGCUAAAGUCCGAUCCCUCCAACCCUGCUGUUAUCGUCUGGAAUGAUACUGCCAUGACCAAGGGCAAGGAUGGCAAGGUCCUCACCUCCCGUGGUAGUAGCACUGUCACCAUAGAGUCUGACUAUUUCAUUGCCUAUGGUAUUAUCAUCAAGAAUGAUGCACUUCCUGCCAAGGCGGGCGACAAACAAGUGCAAGCCACUGCAUUGCAUGUGACGGGCACAAAGGCAAUUUUCUAUAACUGCACGAUCGAGGGCGGCCAGGGAGCCUUGUAUGACCAUCAGGGGCUUCACUACUUCAAGGCCUCUACAAUCAAGGGAAGUGUCGACUUCAUCUUUGGGUCCACACGAUCUUUGUAUGAGGACUGUAGUAUCAUCUCUACUAACAAGGAUAUCACCAACAUGAAAGUGGCACAAGAGGGGUGGGCUAGCGAGAGCCGUAUCAACAGUGAGAGUGGUUUCUCCUUCAAGAAUUGUACCAUUAAGGGUGAGGGGAAACCAUUAUUCUUAGGAAGGGCAUCAGGGAACUUCUCGCAGGUUGUGUACUCCACCGAGAUGGACAGCGAAAUUGUUCCCAUCAUAUGGGAAAAGGGGAAUAUGACAAUUCCUAAGAGUGGGAUCUACUAUGGUGAGUUCAAAUGCUAUGGGCCUGGGUUAGAUGCAUCGAAGAAGGCUGGAUGGGCCCUAUCCCUAACUGAGGCUCAGGCCAAGCCCUUUACCUGCAAAAGCUUCAUCUCAGGUGGCUCAUGGAUUACUCCCCUUCCCCCGGCUGAUCCAUAG
This 846-nucleotide ribosomal RNA is filed under the name Triticum aestivum (bread wheat). RNAcentral's name for it is "partial small subunit ribosomal RNA". The record is from RNAcentral. Lineage: Eukaryota; Viridiplantae; Streptophyta; Magnoliopsida; Poales; Poaceae.